AUCCUCCCCAAUACUGUUCCCUAUUCCCCACUCGCACAAAAUUUCGUUUCCCUCUUAAAUUUCACCUCAUCUCAAAGUAUUUCACCUCCAAAUCAUCUCCCAAAACUGUCUCCGCCCACAUCGCCAAUAUCCUAACCGUGACCUCCUUCAGUUUCUGGUUCCUGUCCUCGUCUCUAUAUUCGUCACCCUGUUUUCGCCCCCUUUUAGUUCUCCAAAAUCCCUAUUUACCCAUAGAAGCUAAACAUUGGCUAAGCAACUACAGAUGACGACAAAAGCUUGCUAAGAGAGUUGCAAUUUUCAUCACCUGUUUCUCAUGUAGAGGCUCCGUAAUCGGAUAACUCAGACGCACUCUCAACCAAUCCAAACCAAGUUGUGUUUAAUUGCCGAAUACGCACU
RNAcentral lists this long non-coding RNA (396 nucleotides) under Helianthus annuus (common sunflower). Its description in RNAcentral is "hypothetical non coding rna". The record is from RNAcentral. Lineage: Eukaryota; Viridiplantae; Streptophyta; Magnoliopsida; Asterales; Asteraceae.